ACCGAAAAGGGGGAUUGGACCAUGGAUAGUGAUCACUCCUCGGGGGACCGUAGGGAAUUUCGGCGAUGGCGAAAUAGAACCACGCGAGAAGGCUUAGGUGGUCAAGUUGUUGUUGGAGACCAGACGAGAUGGGGUGCUGCGGUGCUAACCAGAAAGCACGAUAGUAGUGCGCAGCGAGUACGUAGGGGCAGAUUGUCGGAUAUUGGGCGAAAGCGGCGCAGGGGUCUUAAGUUGAUGUAGAGCACGCUCACCGUGGAGGGUCAUCGGAAUGGGAAUUGAGGCAGAAGAGGAAAAGAGGUAUAGGGUGGGGAAAGAGUGAUUAGAGGGACACAGGGGGAAGAGAUUUUUUUUGUACUAAUCUGAGGGGGAAAGUAGGAGCAAACAAAUUGAUACUCGGUAGUUACCCGUAAACGAGAAGUAGUAAAGUUAAAGGUCUCCCUUUAUUGAUGCAGCAAAACAUCAAGCAGCACACCGGGGGGGGAGUACUCAGCAGGAAAUCAAAAAUUGUUGAGGGGGCCACAACAGGUGUAGGAUGUGGUUUUUUAAUUAGCAACACCAAGAACCACCUUACCAGGUUUUGACAUCUUUUGAAAACUAAAAGAGGAGUUUCUCCUUCGGGACCAGAGUGACAGGUGGUGCAUGGUUGUCGUCAGCUCGGUCGUGAGAUGUUGGGUUAAGUCCCGCAACGAGCGCAACCCUUGAUUUAGUUGCCAUCAUUAAGUUGGGCACUUAAGGUGACUGCCGGUGACAAACCGGAGGAAGGUGGGGAUGACGUCAAAUCAUCAUGCCCCUUAUGACCUGGGCUACACACGUGCUCAAUGGACGGUACAAAGAGCUGCAAGACCGCGAGGUGGAGCUAAUCUCAUAAAACCGUUUCAGUUCGGAUUGUAGGUGCAACUGCCUACAGAAGCUGGAAUCGCUAGUAAUGGGAUCAGCAGCCGCGGUGAAUACGUUCCCGGGCCUUGUACACACCGCCCGUCCACCCGAGAGUUUGUACACCCGAAGUCGGUGGGUAACCUUAUGGAGCCAGCGCCUAAGGGACAGU
This 1045-nucleotide ribosomal RNA is filed under the name Bacillus cereus. RNAcentral's name for it is "bacterial SSU rRNA". The stretch from base 478 to 1045 matches the Rfam family "Bacterial small subunit ribosomal RNA", at positions 875 to 1468 of the family's 1533-position model. The record is from RNAcentral. Lineage: Bacteria; Bacillati; Bacillota; Bacilli; Caryophanales; Bacillaceae.